GGAACAAACAUACGAGUUGGAGGAAUGGCCAAAGGUUCUGGGAUGAUCCACCCUAAUAUGGCCACCAUGCUUGGUGUAAUAACCACUGAUGCACUUGUCAAAAGUGAUGUUUGGAGGAAGAUGGUACAAAUUGCUGUUAAUCGGAGUUUCAACCAAAUAACAGUAGAUGGAGAUACUAGCACCAACGAUACAGUCAUUGCUUUGGCUAGUGGUUUAUCUGGAUCAACC
RNAcentral lists this unclassified non-coding RNA (228 nucleotides) under Hevea brasiliensis (rubber tree). Lineage: Eukaryota; Viridiplantae; Streptophyta; Magnoliopsida; Malpighiales; Euphorbiaceae. The record is from RNAcentral.